Lolium rigidum is the source of this 2309-nucleotide RNA transcript. RefSeq lists it as uncharacterized. Lineage: Eukaryota; Viridiplantae; Streptophyta; Magnoliopsida; Poales; Poaceae. The transcript is spliced from 3 exons. The record is from RefSeq and is a predicted model, not a curated record.
GGCGGCGGCACCGAGAAGUCCAUCUCUGUACAACGGGCAGUGCGUCGGCCUCUUCUCCUCCAAGAUGCUGCUGCCACCGGUAUGGACGGCAGCCACGCGCCACUCCGGCUCCUCGGCCGCGUCCUCCGAUGGCGAAGAAGAGAGCAUGGCCUCGUGGGGGAUCACCGAGGGUUCCGGCAACGACCCGUCUCUGUACAACCGGCCGCGCGUCGGCCUCUUCUCCGCCAAGAGCCUGCCUCCAUCUGUAUGAACAACCGCCUCGGAUCCUCGACCGCCGCCCCGUGGUGCGACCCGUGGCCGCCUUUGCCAGGAAGUGCUCCCGUCUUCAAGAUCCUCCCGUGGACUACAACUGGUAUGCAAUGAUGCUUCUCUAGCUUUCUGCUGGAUAUUUUGCUCUGAAAAUUAGCGAUAACUCAAUUCUGUUGGCUAAUAUUUCCAUGUGUAUACAUUCUUCGUAAUUAGACGUCUGUAUAGAUGCUCAGUUCUUAUGACAAAAUUAAGAAUCUACUUUAUCCAGGAACGCCUGGACAUUUGGGGCAGUACAUACUAAUAAAAUAAGCUGUUCCGAUUGCAAGACAUCAUUGCUAAAUUGUGGACAGUGUGACUCUACUUUCGUUUAUAAACUGCAGACAGGCUAUCCAAGCUGAAAAGGAAGGUACGUAGGCUAUUAAUUUUCACCAAAUGCAGUGGGGAUAUAAGAUCUUGCUUUGGAUUUCUAAAAGAUUCUUGCACCAGCAGCGACAACGACAACAUUGAUGUUCAUGGAUACUGAAGAUAAUCCGUCAUUGAUCCCUUUAUCCCACAUUCAAAAAAAAUCCAAGGAAAAUAUUGUAUCUCAUAUCUCAUCUCUUCAGAUUGUGUGCAUGGCGGCAAAAUGAAACGUGGUGGGCGGAUGUUCGUGACUUCGUCUCACACCUCAGAUAUUCAAUCUGCCUCCAAGUUUGCCUGCUUGCUUUUCUCUGUUAGUGGAUCUACAAGUUAAAUUAUUCAUUCAUUCUUCUCUGGUCAGUGUUCACGGUGGAAACGCCUCACAGUCUUCAGUUUUACGCUUACACUGAGGGGAAGAAAUGUUUUAGACUUUCUACACAAAAAAGGUUCUUUAAACGCGGUCUGUGCUGGGAGCUAAGGAAAAAAGUCCUUGUGUGCCUGCAGAUACGAUGGCCUUCUCUUUUUCACCUAAAAAAGAAUCAUUUUUACUAUAUCCAUGUUUUUAGUAGAUGUGCCCUGUACCAGAUCAUUUAGUGAUGAUCCUGUCUUUGAUUUACAUCCUCAGGUUCAGUUGGAACCUGUUCUUUGGGGUAUCAGGACGGCAUAUGGCUAGCCCCCGUCCUUAUUUUAUAUAACGAGCUGGCAGAAAGAUUGGCAAGGGAAAGCUUAUAUUUCCUGGGUGAAUUAUUUAUAUUCGGUGAAGGGACUCUUGGAUGGUUUUCAGAUGCCACGAGUUGCAUGAAUGUGAUGCAAGUAUCAGCAUCGUCUGCUUACGUUUUCAACAUGCAUCCUCCUACUAGCGUUCACUUUGGUGACUAUCCGGAUGUCUAUCUAAUCAAGAGGCCGACCCAGAUGCAAGCCAUGACACGGCCUGGCGCUGCAGUUGACCCUAGAGUGCACGAUCUGUUCCAGGCUUCGAAGAUUGUCACCAUCUGUGAUGGGCGACGUGCGGAAUUCUGGGACACCCACUGGAUUAAUGGGCGCCGGCCUUCAGAACUCUGGCUUGUGCUCUGGAGCCAUUCCACUCGUCGAUAUCUCACUAUGUGUGCGGCCAGCACUGGCAACUUAUGGCUCCGGUAUGUCAAAGGCUAACCCACCUGUGACGGUUCUCUGCAACUUCAGUGAGCUUUGGCAGCACACUCAGCGCCUCAUGCUGGUCGAUGACGAGGGCGACCGCGAUUUCCUCACCUGGUGUGGUGGUGCAUCCAGCAUAACCCUUUGCUGCCUAUUGUGCUCCUAAUGCCCUGGGAGCUCCUUGCAUUACUCUCCCAAUCUGAUGCGAAGGUUUGCAAGGCAGCCACAGUACUCACUGUUUGGAUGAUCUGUAAGGAGUGUAAUGGCCGCUUCUUUGAACCAUGUUGCACCUCUGUUCGGCAGGUUUUCGAGCGCCUGGUGGAUGAGGCAAAAAAAAUUGGUGAGAUGCGGGCCUUCUUGCCAAUGUGAUUAGAGACCCAAAUUAGAUGCUAUUAUAUUCAGCUUGAUCAAUGUUUAUUCUUGAAUUUUGGGCCAGAUCUUUUCACUGCUCCUCUUAACCUUGUAAAUAUCAUUUUGUUGUUUGUUUGCUCAUUCAAUGAAACACAGCUAAAGCUGCUUUUUUGAAA